RNAcentral lists this long non-coding RNA (451 nucleotides) under Anas platyrhynchos platyrhynchos (common mallard). RNAcentral describes it as "lncRNA (ENSAPLG00000029666.1)". The record is from RNAcentral. Lineage: Eukaryota; Metazoa; Chordata; Aves; Anseriformes; Anatidae.
AAAGCUGACGAAAGAAACAGGCAGCAUCAGGUAGAACCUGACCUGGAAAUUGGGCCGGCUGGCUGGAGCGUAUAGUUACAGUGCUCUCUGGUGGCAGACGAAAUCCUCACCGACCUUCCCAGCCACAGUAAUCCUGCAAAGAAAAGGAUGUGCUGAGCUUCGAGCCUCUUUUCCUGGAGCCAUAAAGGAACAACAUAAGGUGCAAGAACAGAGCCUAAGGAAGUGCUGGAGAAGACAGUGGUACGUGACCAGAACGCCUGUUGUGAAGAGUUCUCUUAUUAAAACAACACGUUAGCUCUAAAAUAAUGGAAUCCACUCUUACUGAACUAGCAUGUUACAAAUACCUCACUAUGUCAUGUUCUCUCUCUUGCUCAUUCUUGAACCAAUUAUUUUAGCCUAUUGCUUUGCUGCUCCAUUCUAACUUUUCUCUCCAUAUCUUAGCAAAACCAAG